Molecule: non-coding RNA, 150 nt
Organism: Choloepus hoffmanni (Hoffmann's two-fingered sloth)
Lineage: Eukaryota; Metazoa; Chordata; Mammalia; Pilosa; Megalonychidae
Source: Rfam
UCCCUGGACCUUGCUUCCCUCCUCCCUUCUCACUAUGGAGAAACAGGAAGGGAUGUUUAUUAACAAAGCUGACUGAGGUCACGCCCAAGGCAAUAUCAGGUUAUAACCUCUCAUGGGCCUGGCAAGAAGUUCAAGGAUCGAGGGCAAGCU